RNAcentral lists this ribosomal RNA (496 nucleotides) under uncultured bacterium. Its description in RNAcentral is "bacterial SSU rRNA". It matches the Rfam family "Bacterial small subunit ribosomal RNA", at positions 899 to 1397 of the family's 1533-position model. The record is from RNAcentral.
ACUCAAAUGAAUAGACGGGGGCCCGCACAAGCAGUGGAUUAUGUGGUUUAAUUCGAAGCAACGCGAAGAACCUUACCAGGUCUUGACAUCCGACUAACGAACCAGAGAUGGAUUAGGUGCCUUUCGGGGAAAGUCGAGACAGGUGGUGCAUGGUUGUCGUCAGCUCGUGUCGUGAGAUGUUGGGUUAAGUCCCGCAACGAGCGCAACCCUUGCCAUUAGUUGCUACGCUAAGAGCACUCUAAUGGGACCGCUACCGACAAGGUGGAGGAAGGUGGGGACGACGUCAAAUCAUCAUGCCCCUUACGGCCUGGGCCACACACGUAAUACAAUGGCCAUUAACAGCGUGAUGCAAACCCGCGAGGGGGAGCCAAACACCAAAAAUGGUCCCAGUUCGGAUCGCAGGCUGCAACCCGCCUGCGUGAAGUUGGAAUUGCUAGUAAUCGCGGAUCAGCAUGCCGCGGUGAAUACGUUCCCGGGCCUUGUACACACCGCCCGU